Molecule: non-coding RNA, 27 nt
Filed under: Bombyx mori (domestic silkworm)
Lineage: Eukaryota; Metazoa; Arthropoda; Insecta; Lepidoptera; Bombycidae
Source: RNAcentral
UAUCGCGAUAGGUCUGUAAUUCGAGGG